GCUGCGCCGGCAUGGUGUGCGCGUUCCUGCUGGAGAUCCGGCGGGGGACGCAGAGCGCUUUGCUCGUUAUCCGCGAGGCGAGCUUGCGGAACCUGCCGGCCGACAUCUCGGUGGCUCCGGGCCGGCUGGAAGUGAGGAGCAGCUCCGCCUGCGGGGUGGCUGCGUUGCCGCCAGGGGUCAGCCUGGCUCCGUCCUCCUGCCGCGGGCUGCGGCGCCUGCACGGAGAUGGCCUGCACCUGCACCUGCGGCUGCGCGGUGUGCCCCGCGCCCCGGAAUCGGCUUAUAAUCUGAGGGAAAGCCUGAAACCACAGAAGAGUUACAUCUUUUACUGCCAGUCCUGUGGUGACAUCAUAGUAAAAGAAAGGAAAUUUUUCAGAGUUCUUCCUCUACCAAGUGAAAACUGGAGUGCUUUAGUAGAAGAGUGGUGUUGUCACCCUAAUCCCUUUGCAAGAAGCACUUUACACCCUCAGCAUGAUGACUGUUUUCUUGGAGAGACUUUUCUCCUGUUGAAUUCGAGAAAUGAAUCAUAUGUGCCUGAAUCUCUCAAGUGCAGCUCAGAGACUGAACAUCAUCACACUUCUCAGAAUGACUCUACCCUGAAAUCAGAGGAAAAUACCAGAGUAAUUUGUGAGCGCUGCAAGACAACACUGGGAGAAACAGUAUCAUCAGAUACUGUUAAAUACUAUGUGACUGAGGUGAUUGUUUGGCCAUCUGAGGAAAGCUUCAGCACAAUACCAAGGUCUCAAUUCGUACAGAGUAUGGUUGCUCAGUGUCUUGUGGAAUUGUCCUCUGCUAAAAGCACAUUUAGAUUCACCAUAAAAGGUGACAAUGGAAGGAUCUAUAUACUGAUAUGGCUUUUAAAUUCUGACACAUUGCUGGUGGAGUCCUCAGGAAGUUCCUCCUCCCACAGUGACUUUACACUGUUUGGCGAUAAUUUCAUGCCAAGCUGUGGACCAUCAGGGAUGUGGAAUGCUGUCAAAGUUCUCUACCAGCCGUGCAUUAAUAACAAGAAUAAAGACCUUGCUGAUGCCUGGGAAAAUGAUUUUGGAGUUCAUCCUUUAAAGUUUCCAUCAGAAACGUGUCUGGAAUUACUUCUGAUGCUGAGUUUGAGUACUGCUUCUUUACCCCCUUCAAUUCAGCGCAUGAACUCUUUUCAGCACUUCAAACAAUAUAAAUGAUUAAAAAUCUUGACUAGAUGGGGAAAAAAAGAUGCUUAUAGUACAGUACUUCCUCACUCUGAAGUUAUUGAUAUGAUGUAAUAUUUUUAUGCUUGGGUUGCCUUUCUGAAGCUGUGAAGAUCUCAGUUACCUAUGUAGAAAACUCUUCUCAAAUUCCCUUCCAUCAGACACAUACAGAAACCUUCCGAUGAUGUGACACCUGAAAGAAAAUCUCCUGGCAGUACAAAGCAGGAUGAGCUAUGGCACACAUUAUUCUUUCUAUCUGGAAGAGAUUCACAGCCAAAGACGGAGUUAGCUUUUACAUCCAGUACAUUCUUAGAUGUUGUUGUAAGAGUGACUGCUCACAUCAAGCUGGACUAAGUUGUAUGUAGUCAAUACUACCUUUGUCAGACAGUAUUGGGAGUCCUAAAAAGACAGGCAGCAAAGAAGGGAUCUAAAAUAUUUAAUGUUAUGGAUGCUGAAGUGUUCUGUUCUUUCUUUGCUCUAAUAAACUUAGAAGGCCGACUUUAAAAUACAUGUUUAACAAAAACUAGAUUUUGUGUGUUUAUCAUGUUUAUUAUUUCUGCAUUAAUGUUUACCUUCCUUCUUGUGAGUGAAGAAAGACCGUGUUCAUGUUAGUAUACCAUAUGUAAUAUUUUGGGAAACUGAUAAUGUUUUGAAGAAUCAAGACUUGAUGGUUGUUUGAACUAAUUAUUCCUUCAGCUUCAAAAAAGGGUAUCCCCAUGAGGGCUGCCUUUUCAGAAACUGCCAGAAAUGAAAGAUUAUUGUCCAUUUUUGCUCUGCGUGCUUACCUGCUUUUCACAGGAGUUUUUUCACUGGGCACAGAAUCUGUUACCAUUUUUGUUUUUGGAGUGAGUUGGAUUUCUGUGACUACUCAGAAUGUGACUGAGCAAUUGCACAGAAAAUCUUUCCCAAUCUGUUGAAAUGACCCCUAUUAUGGUUUUGCAAAUACAGAGCUAUCUUAGGUCACAAAAUAUGUGCUUUUGGGGUUAAGUCUCUGUCACAUCCUGCUUCAUUUGCUACUGUGACCAUACAGAGUAAAUCUGACAUUAAUAUUAUAUUUGGUUGCAGAGUGAUGUGCGUAGACACUUCAUCAGUUUUUGGGAACAAGGAAAAGCCUUCUGGAGAUGAAGAAACAUGCAUCAGCCCCAUCCUGCCGUGCUCCUGCUGUGGCAGUGCUACAGCUGAGCAAAAUCCUGCAAAUCCUAAGCAAAUCUUGAGGGAGCACCAAGCCCAGCAUGUACACUGAUAACACUGAGCCUUUUAGGAGCUUGCCUCCGGCCCUCCUGCUUGCACGUACUUAAAGCUGCUGCUUUUUUUAAUUUUUUUAUUUUUUAUUUUACACCCUUGUGCAUUGGUGUACAGGGUCUGACUGGGAUGGAGUUAACAACUUUUGUAGCUACCAUGCUACAGGUUGGAUUUGUGGCUCCAACAGUGCAGAUAACGCACUGCUGUUCUGGCUGCUGCUGAGGAGUGCUUGCACAGCACCAAGUCUGGGCCUUUUUAUUUCCCCCUCACACCUUUCCCUCAGUGAACAGACUGCUGUUGAGCAGGAAGCUGGGAGAGACCACAGCAGAGACAGGUGGUCUCAGCUGGCCAUAGGGUUUGGGUACAUAUGUAGCUUGCUUACCCUUAAAGCAUGUAAACAAACACCAUGGAGAUAGGAAACUGCUCCAGACAGUAGCUGGCUGCCAGCUGUUUUUUUGUUUUUUGUUUUAAGAAAAAUUUGAUCCUACUUAUUGCUUUCUCUGUUUUCCCCAUUGUUUUGUAUCUGUUACACUGCGUUUUUUUUUUUUUCAGGGCAGAAAGUAUGUUUAUUUUACUUUCUAUAGUGUCAAGUACAGCCUCAGUCUUAAAGCUGUGAUAAUAAAUCAGCUGUGACGUUAGGAAGUACCCACUCACAUUAACGGAGAUAGAUGUGCCUCCUCUACUAAUGUGCAGUUUCCAAACAGUGUAAGGCAACAAGAAGCUAUUUAAAAUGUCAGCUUUAAUUUUUACAUGCUAUCAAGUUGUAAAGAUUGCUAUUGCAAAACACCUCCUAUGUGUCAGACAAGGGGUGUUCUCCAUUAGCACCAAUGGACAACAGUAUUGUUCCUAUCAUUAGCAGGUCAAGUGUAGAGCUUGUUACCUUCUUUAAACAAGCUUGACCAUUAUAAUGAACUGGGAUAGCUAAGCUGUCAUACCAAAUUAAGUCUCAAUUAUUUGGUGGUUAUUUUAUCUCCAAAAGUAGGCUUUCUAGUUUAGUUUCUAUCACCUCCAGUGUAGGCUAGGAUAUACUGAAUAAUAUUGACAAAAGGAUUGAUGCUGGUCUUGCAAUGUGAGCUGAAGGGCAAGUUCUGUCUUGCCUCUGCUUCACUUUUUUGUGUGGAAAACUUUGUAGAUAUAAGGAACAGCUUUAAUUAAAAUUUACAGUACAUGUUUUUGCACUUAAUAUUGGAUUUAAAUGCAAGUGUGUUUCAGUAAUUCUUUCUGUUUUGCUGCCUUCAUUGUUGGUCCUCCAGAACAUCACUAUGAUGUCAAUUUUAGACUUUGCAUUCUUUCAUUUCUCUCCUAGCCAACUCUGUUCCAUUGUAAAUGACAGAUUUCUUGUUUGAGGUACUGCGUCAGCUUAUUUGCAUUGUUCCUUUCAGUUCCCCUCCAGCUUUUUAUCUUUUUUUCGAAGCACUGCAAAGUCCUCAGAUGGACAAGUUACAGAAACAUUGCACAACGCUGUCUUCACUAGACUUCUUCAGUUUCUUUCAAAAUGGGCUGAAUUGCCUCAUAGCAGAUGCCAGGGAGCUUUUAGCAAUUUUCACUGAGUAUCAGGAAUUUUGCUGGUCCACAUGCUAUAACCACUCAUUAGCAACGUUGUGUCUUUGAAUAUCUUACUGUGACAGGCAAGUGUGAUAUUUCUGUUAUUGCAGACAGCAGAUGCUGUGUUCAGAUCUCAUGGUGCUAUAGUUCAGGAAAGUUAGAUAGCAUUCUUUUAAUGAUAACCAUGAAUAUUUGUCUAACUGCUAAUUGUGCAUAAUGGCUCUUGCUUUGUCCCUGUCCAGUUGUCUUACACACUGGAUUGCAUUGGUCGUUAUAUUACAUGCUCAGUAAUGGAUGCUCCUUCUAUCUACUUGUAUUCCAUGAUGAUAUAAAUGCCUAUCAAUUUCUCAUUGUAAAUAUUAGAAAACAGUUUAUUUUAUAAUAUAAAAUGUCAUUUUAACUGGCA
This is an RNA transcript of Centrocercus urophasianus (Greater sage-grouse), 4377 nucleotides long. It is a transcript of the gene named ubiquitin protein ligase E3D, with no coding region annotated. The transcript is spliced from 11 exons. The record is from RefSeq and is a predicted model, not a curated record. Lineage: Eukaryota; Metazoa; Chordata; Aves; Galliformes; Phasianidae.